RNAcentral lists this long non-coding RNA (512 nucleotides) under Ricinus communis (castor bean). Its description in RNAcentral is "long non-coding RNA (RCOM_LNC000310)". Lineage: Eukaryota; Viridiplantae; Streptophyta; Magnoliopsida; Malpighiales; Euphorbiaceae. The record is from RNAcentral.
UCUAAAACAGUUUCAAAUAUCUCAAUGUCACAUUCAUUUAAUUUUAAAAUAAUUAAUAAAUCACGCGAACCAUACGUGUCAUGUUAAAACAUAUGUGUCAUGCCAUGCUUAAACAAAAUUUAUUCCACAUGCAACGGGACAGAUUACUUCAGUAGAACUCUAAUCCCAACUCUAAAAUCUCGAUUAUUUCAACACUUAUGUCUCAACUAACCUCAACUCUAUCAUCUCAAACCUCUCAUUCCAAUAGGACUGGCGCCCAGAGAGCAAAGCUCGACCAGGGACCUUACCUCCAGUCCGGUCACUUAACUCUCAGCCUUAGCCUUUUGGCUCUCUUAUCCAAUAAGACUGGCGCCCCGAGAGCAAAGCUCGACCAGGGACCUUACCUCCAGUCUGGUCACUUAAGUAUCCAAAUAAGAAAUCUAAUAGCCAUUCGACUCUCUUAAUCUAAUAAGACUGGCGCCCCGAGAGCAAAGCUCGACCAGGGACCUUACCUCCAGUCUGGUCACUUAAAU